GUGUACGUGAUACCGGUGAUACAAUGGCUAUAUCAACAAUAGUUCAAAUUGCCGAUGUCCAAAAUAAGCAUUUAGAUACAUUUGAGAGAAAACGAAACGAAAAUAACAUCGUGAAACAAACAAAGUGGGCACUUAGCUGAUUCACUGACUGGUGUGUCGAGAAAGGGAUAUAUUGUGAGUUUGGGAAUACAAAAAAAAUGGAGCUGAACGUUAUUCUACGGGAGUUGUAUUUGUUCAGUGAGAAACACGAAUGCCGAAGAAUAUGGGAUUAGCAGCUAACGUUAUGCUGGACUCGGAGCUGGUUUGAACAUAUCAACGACCCCUUCUCGGUUUGGCAUGGAAUAUACAGAAGGACACCGAAUUCACAACGUGCAAUCAUGUGUCUGUCGGCGUAAUAAAAAGUCUAGGGAAGAGCGGCGCGAUAAAGCUGAACGGCUACGUAUGGUACACAAAAGAGCCGAUGGCAGUACUAUUCUCUCUGACUACACAGCAGCAGCUGCCCCAGUUAAAUGAACGGCAUCCAUUCCCAGCAGCGUGGAGUCAACAAACGAACAACAUUGGCAAGCCAACAACAAACGAUAACACGGGACAUUUUUUUUUCUCUCACUUGUACACAAUAAAUGGCAACAUUCAGAUCAACAUGAAUAAAUAAUUGGCAUGUUUUAGUCACUCUAGAAGUAGCGCUAAUGCUCGUUUUUUCCCCCAUACAUUUAAUGUAAGCUUGCUAGCUAGCCUGUGGUUGUCUAGUAACCAGUCUAGCAACGAGACUUUUAUCCAGAAUACUUUUUCAUGGCGGAAUGUAUGUAUUUAUUUAUUAAAGCAACAUUUGCAAUGUAA
This is a long non-coding RNA of Salvelinus fontinalis (brook trout), 837 nucleotides long. RefSeq lists it as uncharacterized. The record is from RefSeq and is a predicted model, not a curated record. The transcript is spliced from 2 exons. NCBI's taxonomy places the organism in Eukaryota, Metazoa, Chordata, Actinopteri, Salmoniformes, Salmonidae.